Molecule: ribosomal RNA, 129 nt
Filed under: uncultured delta proteobacterium
Lineage: Bacteria; Deltaproteobacteria
Description: partial 16S ribosomal RNA
Rfam family: Bacterial small subunit ribosomal RNA
Source: RNAcentral
GGGCCUGCGUCUCAUUAGCUAGUUGGUAGGGUAAUGGCCUACCAAGGCAACGAUGAGUAGCUGGUCUGAGAGGAUGAUCAGCCACACUGGAACUGAAACACGGUCCAGAYUCCUACSGGAGGUUCCUCC